This 123-nucleotide small RNA is filed under the name Clostridium felsineum. RNAcentral describes it as "Clostridium roseum c-di-AMP sequence". It matches the Rfam family "c-di-AMP riboswitch aptamer (ydaO/yuaA leader)". From Rfam's summary of the family: This family represents a conserved RNA structure found upstream of the ydaO and yuaA genes in Bacillus subtilis and related genes in other bacteria. The ydaO/yuaA element is thought to act as a genetic "off" switch for the ydaO and yuaA genes in its native state. Lineage: Bacteria; Bacillati; Bacillota; Clostridia; Eubacteriales; Clostridiaceae. The record is from RNAcentral.
UAAUAUCAUUAGCCUAAAUUAUAAAAACGGGGAAACCAAUCUUUGGGGGUGAAUCGCAUUUAUGCGUAGGUUUGUGCCUUUACCGAAUCCGUCAGCUAACCUCGUAGAAUAAAAGGAGGAAGA